This is a long non-coding RNA of Corvus hawaiiensis (hawaiian crow), 567 nucleotides long. RefSeq lists it as uncharacterized. The record is from RefSeq and is a predicted model, not a curated record. NCBI's taxonomy places the organism in Eukaryota, Metazoa, Chordata, Aves, Passeriformes, Corvidae. The transcript is spliced from 3 exons.
AUGAGCAGCACUACAAUUGCAGGCCUGUUGGGAAAGCAAGGAAGAGCCUUCAGAACUAAGCUGGGAAUGAAAACAACUGCAGGUGACUGACUUGUCAAGGAGCUGAGCAGAAAACUGAAGUUAUUAGUGCAGCUGAAGUAACUCAGCAAGCUGUUACUUCCAGCCACUCCAAGCAUCCAAGGAUCUCACGGGAAGAACGCAGAUGCUUAACUCAGCUCUGAGGACAUUUACCAGCACAAAAAGCCAAGGUGACAGAGGAGUUCCAAGAAGCCCAGCUGCCCUCCCAGCUGUCAGUACAGGGCAUCAGGUCUGCAUUUGUUGUGUCAGCAGCAGAGAAGGGUCGGGCAGCAGCCCAAAGUGGCUGCAGGAUGCUUACCGGUCCGUCUGGAGAACAUGGAUGAGGUGUUCCAUGGCUUGUAUGCCGACCUCCAACCGGUACUUCUGUUCGGAGGAGAGAAAAAAGAUAAAUGGUCGAGCCCAAACCCAAACAAAGCCUUUUUAACAGUACCUGGCAAAGCUACUUGAAAUUCACGCCGCUACUCAGGAAGUUGGCUACUUACCUUGGAU